This 331-nucleotide ribosomal RNA is filed under the name Streptomyces sp. WAC05374. RNAcentral's name for it is "bacterial SSU rRNA". It matches the Rfam family "Bacterial small subunit ribosomal RNA", at positions 1 to 332 of the family's 1533-position model. The record is from RNAcentral. Lineage: Bacteria; Bacillati; Actinomycetota; Actinomycetes; Kitasatosporales; Streptomycetaceae.
CAUUCACGGAGAGUUUGAUCCUGGCUCAGGACGAACGCUGGCGGCGUGCUUAACACAUGCAAGUCGAACGAUGAACCCACUUCGGUGGGGGAUUAGUGGCGAACGGGUGAGUAACACGUGGGCAAUCUGCCCUUCACUCUGGGACAAGCCCUGGAAACGGGGUCUAAUACCGGAUACGACCACUGAGGGCAUCCUCGGUGGUGGAAAGCUCCGGCGGUGAAGGAUGAGCCCGCGGCCUAUCAGCUUGUUGGUGGGGUAAUGGCCUACCAAGGCGACGACGGGUAGCCGGCCUGAGAGGGCGACCGGCCACACUGGGACUGAGACACGGCCC